CAGAAACUUAAAGGAAGUUGACGGGGCCCGGCACAAGCGGUGGAGCAUGUGGUUUAAUUCGAUGAUACGCGAGGAACCUUACCUGGGCUCAAAUGUAUGUUGACGUAUUCUGAAAGGGAUACUUCUUCGGACAAUAUACAAGGUGCUGCAUGGUUGUCGUCAGCUCGUGCCGUGAGGUGUCGGGUUAAGUCCCAUAACGAGCGCAACCCCUAUCAUUAGUUGCCAUCAGGUCAAGCUGGGGACUCUAAUGAAACUGCCUACGCAAGUAGUGAGGAAGGUGGGGAUGACGUCAAAUCAGCACGGCCCUUACGUCCAGGGCUACACACGUGCUACAAUGGCCGGUACAAAGGGCAGCUACCUGGUGACAGGAUGCUAAUCUCAAAAGCCGGUCUCAGUUCGGAUCGGAGUCUGCAACUCGACUUCAUGAAGCUGGAAUCGCUAGUAAUCGCAGAUCAGCCAAGCUGCGGUGAAUACGUUCCCGGGCCUU
RNAcentral lists this ribosomal RNA (487 nucleotides) under uncultured Sphingobacteriales bacterium. RNAcentral's name for it is "bacterial SSU rRNA". It matches the Rfam family "Bacterial small subunit ribosomal RNA", at positions 894 to 1382 of the family's 1533-position model. The record is from RNAcentral. Lineage: Bacteria; Pseudomonadati; Bacteroidota; Sphingobacteriia; Sphingobacteriales.